Molecule: ribosomal RNA, 233 nt
Filed under: uncultured bacterium
Lineage: Bacteria
Description: partial 16S ribosomal RNA
Rfam family: Bacterial small subunit ribosomal RNA
Source: RNAcentral
CGGGACGGGUGAGUAAUGUCUGGGAAACUGCCUGAUGGAGGGGGGUAACUACUGGAAACGGUAGCUAAUACCGCAUAACGUCGCAAGACCAAAGAGGGGGACCUUCGGGCCUCUUGCUAUCGGAUGUGCCCAGAUGGGAUUAGCUAGUAGGUGGGGUAACGGCUCACCUAGGCGACGAUCCCUAGCUGGUCUGAGAGGAUGACCAGCCACACUGGAACUGAGACACGGUCCAG